RNAcentral lists this ribosomal RNA (253 nucleotides) under uncultured bacterium. Its description in RNAcentral is "partial 16S ribosomal RNA". It matches the Rfam family "Bacterial small subunit ribosomal RNA", at positions 524 to 776 of the family's 1533-position model. The record is from RNAcentral.
UACGGAGGGGGCUAGCGUUGUUCGGAAUUACUGGGCGUAAAGCGCGCGUAGGCGGACCUGCAAGUCGGGGGUGAAAGCCCGAGGCUCAACCUCGGAACUGCCUUCGAUACUGCGGAUCUCGAGUCCGGAAGAGGUGAGUGGAAUUCCUAGUGUAGAGGUGAAAUUCGUAGAUAUUAGGAAGAACACCAGUUGCGAAGGCGGCUCACUGGUCCGGUACUGACGCUGAGGUGCGAAAGCGUGGGGAGCAAACAGG